Molecule: unclassified non-coding RNA, 377 nt
Filed under: uncultured Actinomycetes bacterium
Lineage: Bacteria; Bacillati; Actinomycetota; Actinomycetes
Description: uncultured actinobacterium contains 16S-23S intergenic spacer region
Source: RNAcentral
UCCGAGUUGUCCCCGGCAGUCCCCUUAGAGUCCCCGGCUUUACCCGCUGGCAACAUGGGAUAGGGGUUGCGCUCGUUGCGCCACUUAAGGCAACACCUCACGGCACGAGCUGACGACAGCCAUGCAGCACCUGUGCCGGCUCCCGAAGGAGCGCCGUGUUUCCACGGUUUCACCCGGCAUGUCAAGCCCUGGUAAGGUUCUUCGCGUUGCGUCGAAUUGAGCCACAUGCUCCGCCGCUUGUGCGGGCCCCCGUCAAUUCCUUUGAGUCUUAGCCUUGCGGCCGUACUCCCCAGGCGGGGCACUUAAUGCGUUAGCUGCGGCACGGGGGGAGUCGACACCCCCCACACCUAGUGCCCAUCGUUUACGGCGUGGACUAC